AUGCCUAUUGUUAAACCAGGAAAUUGGCACAUAAAGAUUCGUGGAAAUAUGAUAAUUUCUGAGGACACAUCUUCACAAGGAAGCAAAACUGUUGCUGAUGGCUGCGUCCCACAGUUACAGAAGUGGCACUUACACAAGAGCCAGAAAAGGUGA
Molecule: long non-coding RNA, 153 nt
Filed under: Cyanistes caeruleus (blue tit)
Lineage: Eukaryota; Metazoa; Chordata; Aves; Passeriformes; Paridae
Description: lncRNA (ENSCCEG00000023608.1)
Source: RNAcentral